Molecule: ribosomal RNA, 520 nt
Filed under: uncultured Glomus
Lineage: Eukaryota; Fungi; Glomeromycota; Glomeromycetes; Glomerales; Glomeraceae
Description: SSU rRNA
Rfam family: Eukaryotic small subunit ribosomal RNA
Source: RNAcentral
AGCAGCCGCGGUAAUUCCAGCUCCAAUAGCGUAUAUUAAAGUUGUUGCAGUUAAAAAGCUCGUAGUUGAAUUUCGGGAUUAAUUUAUUGGUCGUGCUAUUGUACGUACUGGUAUUAUUGAUUCCUACCUUCUGACGAACCAUGAUGUCAUUAAUUUGGUGUCUUGGGGAAUCAGGACUGUUACUUUGAAAAAAUUAGAGUGUUUAAAGCAGGCUCACGCUUGAAUACAUUAGCAUGGAAUAACGAAAUAGGACGUUUGAUUCUAUUUUGUUGGUUUCUAGGGUCGACGUAAUGAUUAAUAGGGAUAGUUGGGGGCAUUAGUAUUCAAUUGUCAGAGGUGAAAUUCUUGGAUUUAUUGAAGACUAACUACUGCGAAAGCAUUUGCCAAGGAUGUUUUCAUUAAUCAAGAACGAAAGUUAGGGGAUCGAAGACGAUCAGAUACCGUCGUAGUCUUAACCAUAAACUAUGCCGACUAGGGAUCGGAUGAUGUUAAUUUUUAAUAACUCAUUCGGCGCCUUACG